UGGGGAAUCUUGCGCAAUGGGCGAAAGCCUGACGCAGCAACGCCGCGUGCGGGAUGAAGGCCUUCGGGUUGUAAACCGCUUUCGACCGGAACGAAUCUGACGGUACCGGUGGAAGAAGGUCCGGCCAACUACGUGCCAGCAGCCGCGGUAACACGUAGGGACCGAGCGUUGUCCGGAUUCAUUGGGCGUAAAGAGCUCGUAGGCGGUUGGGUAAGUCGGGUGUGAAAACUCCAGGCUCAACUUGGAGACGCCACCCGAUACUGCUCUGACUCGAGUCUGGUAGGGGAGUGGGGAAUUCCUGGUGUAGCGGUGAAAUGCGCAGAUAUCAGGAGGAACACCGGUGGCGAAGGCGCCACUCUGGGCCAGUACUGACGCUGAGGAGCGAAAGCGUGGGUAGCAA
RNAcentral lists this ribosomal RNA (400 nucleotides) under uncultured bacterium. RNAcentral's name for it is "bacterial SSU rRNA". It matches the Rfam family "Bacterial small subunit ribosomal RNA", at positions 355 to 771 of the family's 1533-position model. The record is from RNAcentral.